UACGGAGGAUGCGAGCGUUAUCCGGAUUUAUUGGGUUUAAAGGGUGCGUAGGCGGACUGUCAAGUCAGCGGUAAAAUUGAGAGGCUCAACCUCUUCCCGCCGUUGAAACUGGUGGUCUUGAGUGGAUGAGAAGUACGCGGAAUGCGUGGUGUAGCGGUGAAAUGCAUAGAUAUCACGCAGAACUCCGAUUGCGAAGGCAGCCUGCUGGACUGUAACUGACGCUGAUGCUCGAAAGUGUGGGUAUCAAACAGG
Molecule: ribosomal RNA, 252 nt
Filed under: uncultured bacterium
Lineage: Bacteria
Description: partial 16S ribosomal RNA
Rfam family: Bacterial small subunit ribosomal RNA
Source: RNAcentral